Molecule: unclassified non-coding RNA, 2213 nt
Filed under: Drosophila yakuba
Lineage: Eukaryota; Metazoa; Arthropoda; Insecta; Diptera; Drosophilidae
Description: GE21120
Source: RNAcentral
CAGCUGGUCGGACAUGGCCGACAGCGAAUUCGAGGAGUUCCACAGGCCCAUAUUUGAGCCACAUACGAUUGCUGGAUUCGGUUCUGGAGCAGGCAGCAAGAAGAACAAUCCCCAUGCAUUUUACUCUUUAAUUCCCAACGAUGACCUGGAGGACUCGCACUCCUCGAAGAGCGAUGGCGACGGCUCCGAUCAGGAGGAUGGCAUGGGUCUCGUGGAUCACGAGCCCAAGAUGCGUCAGGUGGAGGACGAUGAGCUGGGCGACGGCCUGAAAGUCACUCUGUCCUCGGACGGCUCACUGGACACCAACGACUCUUUUAACUCGCACCGGCAUCAUCCGUUGAAUCACCAGGACGCGAUUGGUGGCUUCCUGGGCAUGGACACCAGUGGAUUGGGUGGCAACAGUGCUCCUGUGACCAUUGGAGCCAGCACAGAUCUGCUGGCACCCAACACAGCUGCCACACGACGUCGUCGCAAGUUGCCGGAGAUACCGAAAAACAAGAAAUCUUCCAUUCUGCAUCUUCUAGGUGGCUCCAACUUUGGCUCCCUGGCGGAUGAGUUCCGCAACGGUGGUGGUGGAGGUGGAGGAGUACCGCCAGUAGUUCGCGGUGGACAACAGCGCUCAUUUCUGUCCCUCAAGUGCGGCUACUUGAUGGACGAGGACUCCAGUCCGGAUUCGGAGAGGAUGCAGAGUCUGGGCGACGUGGACAGUGGUCACAGCACGGCGCAUUCGCCCAACGACUUCAAGAGCAUGUCGCCGCAGAUCACGUCUCCCGUUUCGCAGUCCCCUUUCCCGCCGCCCUUCGGGGGCGUGCCCUUUGGCCAGCUGGAGAUGCUGGAGGCCACGCACCGCGGGCUGCACAAGUUUGUGCCGCGGCACCACGACGAGAUCGAGCUGGAGAUCGGCGACGCCAUCUAUGUGCAAAAGGAGGCCGAGGACCUGUGGUGCGAGGGCGUGAAUCUCCGCACCGGAAGGCAGGGCAUCUUCCCCUCGGCCUACGCCGUGGACCUGGACUACAACGAGUUCGAUCCCACAGUGCAGCUGGUGAAGAAGGAGCGCUACCUGCUGGGCUACCUCGGAUCCGUGGAGACGCUGGCGCACAAGGGCACGGGAGUCGUUUGCCAGGCGGUGCGCAAGAUUGUCGGCGAGUACGGCAACUCGCCCACCGGACAGACCUGCAUCCUGGAGGUCUCCGACCAGGGACUGCGCAUGGUGGAUCGAUCGGGCCCGAAUCAAAACAAAAAGGACAAGAAGCCGUGCAUCGACUACUUCUACUCCCUGAAGAACGUCUCCUUCUGCGCAUUUCACCCUCGCGAUCACCGCUUCAUUGGCUUCAUCACCAAACAUCCCACGGUGCAGCGGUUCGCUUGUCACGUCUUCAAGGGCUCCGAGUCCACCAGGCCGGUGGCCGAGGCAGUGGGCCGUGCUUUCCAGCGAUUCUAUCAGAAAUUCAUUGAAACCGCUUAUCCCAUCGAGGACAUCUAUAUUGAGUAGGCUUGCGGGGGCGGUUUGUGCUUCUAGACGAAGGCGAAUUCAUUAAUCAAUACGAUACGAUAUAUUUUUUGUGCGGUUAUUACGAAUAAAAGCAAAGAUAAGUCUCAAGUCUCAAGAAAUAUUUGCUCUUCUUCAAAGAGAAUCUUAAAGCAAAUUCAAUAAGCUCGCAAUAGAAACCCUAGCUAUAGAUUACUCUCAUUUCUCCGUUGCUAAAUACCAUUCUCGGCAAGAUCUUAGACAUGUAAAUAGUUAACUUUUGUUCAAAACUCAAAACUCCCACUUUACACUAAAGCUUCAAGCAAUCAGCAAUAGUUGCCCCUUAUAGAAACACCCUUACACUCGAGUACAUUGCAUAUACACAGAGGCACAACCAAGCACACACACGAUGAGUUGAACUCCCUGAAAGAAAAAUUACCUUGAAGAGCCCAAUUUCGUAUCGGAAAGUCAGUAGCUCAGUUGGGUCUGAAUCUAUUGUAAAUCGGAGACAGCCAAUCUAGAUUGGUUCCAGAUAUCCAGACCCCACUGUGAGCACAUCCCCAUCCUGGCAAUGCACAAAAUAGAUUACCAGACUCAACAAUAUCGAACAUCAGCUGCUACGUUUUGAAGUAUUCUCAAUUAAAGCCCAGUUUAUGAUGUGUAAACCUUUAAAGUUGUGUACACGCAGGCGAAUAUAUACUGUACAUGUAUACAAACGAAAUAUAUAAAGAACCUAUAAAUCAAA